This 64-nucleotide transfer RNA is filed under the name Ictidomys tridecemlineatus (thirteen-lined ground squirrel). Its description in RNAcentral is "Spermophilus tridecemlineatus (thirteen-lined ground squirrel) tRNA". It matches the Rfam family "tRNA". From Rfam's summary of the family: Transfer RNA (tRNA) molecules are approximately 80 nucleotides in length. Their secondary structure includes four short double-helical elements and three loops (D, anti-codon, and T loops). Further hydrogen bonds mediate the characteristic L-shaped molecular structure. tRNAs have two regions of fundamental functional importance: the anti-codon, which is responsible for specific mRNA codon recognition, and the 3' end, to which the tRNAs corresponding amino acid is attached (by aminoacyl-tRNA synthetases). tRNAs cope with the degeneracy of the genetic code in two manners: having more than one tRNA (with a specific anti-codon) for a particular amino acid; and 'wobble' base-pairing, i.e. permitting non-standard base-pairing at the 3rd anti-codon position. Lineage: Eukaryota; Metazoa; Chordata; Mammalia; Rodentia; Sciuridae. The record is from Rfam by way of RNAcentral.
GGGGAUGUAGCUCAGUGGUGGAGCACUUGUCUGGCAUCAUGCAAGGUCCUAGCUUUCAUUCCCA